RNAcentral lists this ribosomal RNA (83 nucleotides) under Paenibacillus fujiensis. RNAcentral describes it as "partial 23S rRNA". Lineage: Bacteria; Bacillati; Bacillota; Bacilli; Caryophanales; Paenibacillaceae. The record is from RNAcentral.
GGUUAAGCUAUUAAGAGCACACGGAGGAUGCCUAGGCGCCAGGAGCCGACGAAGGACGUGGCGAACAACGAAAAGGCCUCGGG